UAUCACAGCGCACAACGGCGAU
This 22-nucleotide microRNA is filed under the name Pristionchus pacificus. RNAcentral's name for it is "ppc-miR-2264". The record is from miRBase by way of RNAcentral. Lineage: Eukaryota; Metazoa; Nematoda; Chromadorea; Rhabditida; Neodiplogasteridae.